UAGGGAAUAUUAGAAAUGGACGAAAGUCUGAUCUAGCAACACCGCGUGUGCGAAGAAGGCCUUCGGGUUGUAAAGCACUUUUUGGAAGGAUUAGGAAGGAAUGUACUUCCAGAAUAAGUCUCGGCUAACUACGUGCCAGCAGCCGCGGUAACACGUAGGAGGCAAACGUUAUCCGGAUUUACUGGGCGUAAAGCGCGUGUAGGUGGUUCUGUAAGUAGGGCGUGAAAGCUCCUGGCUCAACUGGGAGAGGCCGUUCUAAACUGCAGAGCUGGAGGAUGGUAGAGGGAGGUGGAAUUCAGAGUGUAGCGGUGGAAUGCGCAGAUAUCCGUAGGAACACCAGUGGCGAAAGCGUCCUCCUGGACCGUUCCUGACACUCAGUCGCGAGAGCUAGGGUAGCAAACG
Molecule: ribosomal RNA, 402 nt
Filed under: uncultured prokaryote
Description: bacterial SSU rRNA
Rfam family: Bacterial small subunit ribosomal RNA
Source: RNAcentral